AGUCUGAAUAACAGGAACGAGAUUCGAGUUUUUGCACCAUCUAUAUAAAGGCUUCAAUUAUUGGGUUUUAGCUCAAGUAAUCUUCUUCAAUUUGAUUCCCAAACUAAUACCUACCAAAGUCCCAUUACUAAGCAAAGACGGUUCACCAAACCAAGAAAUAAUCAAGCAACAAUCAUAGAUCUCAUAUGCUGCAAAGAGAAGAUGGAAUGAAUAUGUAGAAAUUUGAAUAAGAAAUCAGAAGCGAAAGCGUCAAGGAGAAAAUUUUGGAAGAGGAUCUGUGUCAACGAAAGGGAGCGACAGUUAUUAGGAGGAAAAAUAGAGGCUAUGCGUCAUCGAAGGAGAGCAAACAACUCAUAAAGGUUAGCAAAAUGUCAAAACUACCCUCACUUUUGGUUUAAAUGAUAUGAAGCAGACAUGUCGAAACUUGAGCGAGGCACAUAAUAAUGAACAUCCAAAGAGGAGUGUAAUGAAAAUAUUAUUGUGGGUGUUCAUUUAUUACUCCGCUGUAGAUAAUCUUCUUCAUUAGUACUCCAUUGAAGUUUUCUAUAAGCAGUUGAUGCUGUAAGCACAUGAUUUUUGCCCUAUAUGAGAAUUACUCCCAAAAAUUCAAAAUAAAAUGAUUUUCCUUGGUGUGCAAUUUUGAGAAUUUUUAUGACAUUUUCGGAUAAUUAUUUGUGGUUAUCUGUGCAUGUUUAUUUGUUAAAUUAAUAAAAAAUACAAAAAUAUGUCGCAUUUUUCAUGUAGGAUUUAAUUCUACAAUUUUUAGUAAUUGAGUUUGUUUUACAAAAAUUAAAAAUUACAAAAAUAGGCAUCUUUUGCAUUUUUAGCAUUUAAUGUCUAAAUAUACAAUUUUAUGCUUAAUUAUUACUUAAUUGUGCGUUAAUUGUUAUUGGGAGUUAAUUUGCGCUUUUAUAACUUAAUUUAAGUAUUUUUAUAAUUUAGUUUUAGAAAAAUAAAAGAAGAAAAGAGAGCAAAAAUAUAAAGAAAAUCUGAAUUGGGCCUCUUCUUCAAUUUCAAACCACAGGCCCAAAAAAUUGCCCAACCUUCCCCAUGACCCGGUCCAUUUUAAACCGGGUCGACCCAGUCCAUAACCCAACACCCCUAUUAUCUUACAUUUCAUAAAACAACACAAAACAAAAAAAACCCUAAAAACUAAC
This 1157-nucleotide long non-coding RNA is filed under the name Nicotiana tabacum (common tobacco). RNAcentral's name for it is "long non-coding RNA (NTAB_LNC017289)". The record is from RNAcentral. Lineage: Eukaryota; Viridiplantae; Streptophyta; Magnoliopsida; Solanales; Solanaceae.